RNAcentral lists this ribosomal RNA (424 nucleotides) under Verrucomicrobiota bacterium. RNAcentral's name for it is "Verrucomicrobia bacterium partial 16S ribosomal RNA". It matches the Rfam family "Bacterial small subunit ribosomal RNA", at positions 355 to 776 of the family's 1533-position model. Lineage: Bacteria; Pseudomonadati; Verrucomicrobiota. The record is from RNAcentral.
UGAGGAAUAUUGGUCAAUGGACGAGAGUCUGAACCAGCCAAGUAGCGUGCAGGAUGACGGCCCUAUGGGUUGUAAACUGCUUUUGUUUGGGAAUAAUCGGCAUUACGUGUAAUGUUUUGCAUGUACCAUUCGAAUAAGGACCGGCUAAUUCCGUGCCAGCAGCCGCGGUAAUACGGAAGGUCCAGGCGUUAUCCGGAUUUAUUGGGUUUAAAGGGAGUGUAGGCGGUUGGUUAAGCGUGUUGUGAAAUGUAGAUGCUCAACAUCUGACUUGCAGCGCGAACUGGCUGACUUGAGUACACACAACGUAGGCGGAAUUCAUGGUGUAGCGGUGAAAUGCUUAGAUAUCAUGAAGAACUCCGAUUGCGAAGGCAGCUUACGGGAGUGUUACUGACGCUUAAGCUCGAAGGUGCGGGUAUCGAACAGG